ACCUCUGUUUCUAGUUCUAAUAUCAAGUGAAAUGCCAAGGCAUCUCAACUCAUGCCUAGAUGAACAAACCGCCCGUCAUAACUCUAUUUUUAUUGUUCUACUAUGUAAGAUAAUCGUAAUGACAUUCUUAUCUCGUGAUGGAAUAUAAAUGAAUGUAUGAAAAAUAUUAAGCAAAAUGUCCAAAUGCCGCGACUCACAUUGGCAGACUGUCGCUCCGGUCACGCGUAAUAUUUAACGCCCCGUCCAUAAAAAGACGGGUGAAAC
This 264-nucleotide long non-coding RNA is filed under the name Carica papaya (papaya). RNAcentral's name for it is "long non-coding RNA (CPAP_LNC013668)". Lineage: Eukaryota; Viridiplantae; Streptophyta; Magnoliopsida; Brassicales; Caricaceae. The record is from RNAcentral.